This is a long non-coding RNA of Solanum dulcamara, 1137 nucleotides long. RefSeq lists it as uncharacterized. NCBI's taxonomy places the organism in Eukaryota, Viridiplantae, Streptophyta, Magnoliopsida, Solanales, Solanaceae. The record is from RefSeq and is a predicted model, not a curated record. The transcript has 4 exons.
GAAAAAACGAAGGGGGAGGCGGAGACUAGAAGGAAGAGAGAGCAAUGAAAUCGCCUGAGAUGAGGAUAUGUUGGAACUCAAGUACAAGGAAAUGUGGAACGAGAGAUUGAACAAGUACGAGGAGGAGCUCAAAAUGAAGAAAAGUAUGGAGACGCAUGCUUGCACUGAGUUGUCAGGAGACCAUCUUGCGAGAUAGGGCAUGAUGUUUCCCUAGGAAAUUUCCAGGGGAUUGGUGUCGAGAGGAGCACGUUGACAAGAAUAUAUCCUCGCUUCGGUACUGGAUGUACUCCAUAAAUGAGCAUGGGACACAAGAUAUACCUGCAAUUAUAGAGAAGAUCCUCCAAACAAAAGUUGCUGAAUUGGAAAAUAGCCAAAAAGUUGUGGAGGAAGAGAGUGGCAAUGAUCAGCCUUACAAACCUUGUGCAUUUUGUCAUAGUUUGGGAGGAGUUGCUAUUCUAAUGUACAUUCUAACACGUCGAAUUGAGGGAAAACCUAUUGAUCUUAUUAUCGCCUGCUGGGUUUCAUCAUGAUUCCGAUCCUGUAUUCACAAUGAUGGAAUGCUUAUUCCUGCAAUUGUCUCCUCUCCUUGCCCCUUUUGUGUCAGCUUUCUAUAUUCCCACUCGGUUUUUCUGCAUGCUGCUUAACUAGUUGGCCCGAGGCUUCCAUAACUUACCAGUUGUUGGAGGUCUUGUGCAAACUCUCAUAAGUUAUUUAGUUGGUGGAGAUAGCUCCAAUUGGGGGAUUUCUACUCCCUUAUUGAUAUUCCGAUUGAUCUUAUUGCUGGGCGUAAGGACAAGAUCAUCAGGCCAUCCAUGGUAAGGAAACAUUAUAAGCAGACGAAGGAUGCAGGUGUGGAGGUGUCAUAUAAUGAGUUCGAGUAUGCUCAUUUGGAUUUUACAUUUUCCCAUCAUGAAGAACUAUUGGCCUAUAUUAUGUCUCGAAAAUUUUUAGUAGGUGCUUCUAUGAAGCAGCAACCCGGCCAGAAAUCAUUGCAGAUUAGGAGAAAAGAGGGCAAACCAGAAACAACCGUUAAAGUGUAGCACUAACAAGAGCCGGACCAUCUAUGGAGAUCUUCCAAUGCCUCCAAGCCAUUAGAUUUUUCUUCAUCAUAAUCACAUUGGCGAUCCUCUAAUUUCA